GACGAACGCUGGCGGCGUGCCUAAUACAUGCAAGUAGAACGCUGAAGGAGGAGCUUGCUUCUCUGGAUGAGUUGCGAACGGGUGAGUAACGCGUAGGUAACCUGCCUGGUAGCGGGGGAUAACUAUUGGAAACGAUAGCUAAUACCGCAUAAUAGUAGAUGUCGCAUGACAUUUGCUUAAAAGGUGCAAUUGCAUCACUACCAGAUGGACCUGCGUUGUAUUAGCUAGUUGGUGAGGUAACGGCUCACCAAGGCAACGAUACAUAGCCGACCUGAGAGGGUGAGCGGCCACACUGGGACUGAGACACGGCCCAGACUCCUACGGGAGGCAGCAGUAGGGAAUCUUCGGCAAUGGACGGAAGUCUGACCGAGCAACGCCGCGUGAGUGAAGAAGGUUUUCGGAUCGUAAAGAUCUGUUGUAAGAGAAGAACGAGUGUGAGAGUGGAAAGUUCACACUGUGACGGUAUCUUACCAGAAAGGGACGGCUAACUACGUG
This 495-nucleotide ribosomal RNA is filed under the name uncultured bacterium. Its description in RNAcentral is "partial 16S ribosomal RNA". It matches the Rfam family "Bacterial small subunit ribosomal RNA", at positions 28 to 507 of the family's 1533-position model. The record is from RNAcentral.